Molecule: non-coding RNA, 27 nt
Filed under: Cricetulus griseus (Chinese hamster)
Lineage: Eukaryota; Metazoa; Chordata; Mammalia; Rodentia; Cricetidae
Source: RNAcentral
GAUGGUAUGAGAGUAGUGGACAGAAGG